AGAGCUAAUACAUGCAAACAAGUCCCGACCAGCGAUGGAGAGGACGCUUUUAUUGGAUCAAAACCAUUCGCCCGGCUUGCCCGGGCGUCGGCUUGAUGACUCUAGAUAACACCACAGAUCGCACGGUCACAGUACCGGUGACAUAUCCUUCAAAUGUCUGACUUAUCAGCUGUCGAUGGUAGACUCUGUGUCUACCAUGGCGCUCACGGGUGACGGGGAAUCAGGGUUCGAUUCCGGAGAGGGAGCCUGAGAAACGGCUACCACAUCCAAGGAAGGCAGCAGGCACGCAAAUUACCCACUCCCGGCACGGGGAGGUAGUGACAAAAAAUAACGAUACGGGACUCAUCCGAGGCCCCGUAAUCGGAAUGAGAACACCCUAAAUCCUUUAACGAGGAUCUAUUGGAGGGCAAGUCUGGUGCCAGCAGCCGCGGUAAUUCCAGCUCCAAUAGCGUAUAUUAAAGUUGUUGCGGUUAAAAAGCUCGUAGUUGGUUCUGCGUGCCACGCUGUCGGUUCACCGCCUGCCGGUGCAACUGGCAUGCCGUGGCAUGUCCUGUCGGUGGCGGAUAGGCUUCGCGGCGUGCCCUAUGCGGUGACAAGCCGUGUAGGUCGCUGCGCCGCG
Molecule: ribosomal RNA, 619 nt
Filed under: Mozena lineolata
Lineage: Eukaryota; Metazoa; Arthropoda; Insecta; Hemiptera; Coreidae
Description: SSU rRNA
Rfam family: Eukaryotic small subunit ribosomal RNA
Source: RNAcentral